GAAAUGCGAUAAUUAAUGUGAAUUGCAGAAUUCAGUGAAUCAUCGAGUCUUUGAACGCACAUUGCGCCCCCUGGUAUUCCGGAGGGCAUGCCUGUCCGAGCGUCAUUGCUGCCCUCAAGCACGGCUUGUGUGUUGGGCUUCCGUCCCUGGCAACGGGGACGGGCCCAAAAGGCAGUGGCGGCACCAUGUCUGGUCCUCGAGCGUAUGGGGCUUUGUCACCCGCUCCCGUAGGUCCAGCUGGCAGCUAGCCUCGCAACCAAUCUUUUUAACCAGGUUGACCUCGGAUCAGGUAGGGAUACCCGCUGAACUUAAGC
Molecule: unclassified non-coding RNA, 314 nt
Filed under: plant metagenome
Description: partial contains 5.8S ribosomal RNA, internal transcribed spacer 2, and large subunit ribosomal RNA
Rfam family: 5.8S ribosomal RNA (bases 1-105)
Source: RNAcentral